RNAcentral lists this ribosomal RNA (468 nucleotides) under uncultured bacterium. RNAcentral's name for it is "partial 16S ribosomal RNA". It matches the Rfam family "Bacterial small subunit ribosomal RNA", at positions 28 to 507 of the family's 1533-position model. The record is from RNAcentral.
GACGAACGCUGGCGGCGUGCUUAACACAUGCAAGUCGAACGGAAAGACCCUGCUUUUGUGGGGUGCUCGAGUGGCGAACGGGUGAGUAACACGUGAGUAACCUGCCCUUGACUUUGGGAUAACUUCGGGAAACUGGGGCUAAUACCGGAUAGGAGCUCCUGCUGCAUGGUGGGGGUUGGAAAGUUUCGGCGGUUGGGGAUGGACUCGCGGCUUAUCAGCUUGUUGGUGGGGUAGUGGCUUACCAAGGCUUUGACGGGUAGCCGGCCUGAGAGGGUGACCGGCCACAUUGGGACUGAGAUACGGCCCAGACUCCUACGGGAGGCAGCAGUGGGGAAUAUUGCACAAUGGGCGGAAGCCUGAUGCAGCAACGCCGCGUGCGGGAUGACGGCCUUCGGGUUGUAAACCGCUUUCGCCUGUGACGAAGCGUGAGUGACGGUAAUGGGUAAAGAAGCACCGGCUAACUACGUG